GAUGAACGCUGGCGGCGUGCCUAAUACAUGCAAGUCGAGCGAACAGACGAGGAGCUUGCUCCUCUGACGUUAGCGGCGGACGGGUGAGUAACACGUGGAUAACCUACCUAUAAGACUGGGAUAACUUCGGGAAACCGGGGCUAAUACCGGAUAAUAUAUUGAACCGCAUGGUUCAAUAGUGAAAGACGGUUUUGCUGUCACUUAUAGAUGGAUCCGCGCCGCAUUAGCUAGUUGGUAAGGUAACGGCUUACCAAGGCGACGAUGCGUAGCCGACCUGAGAGGGUGAUCGGCCACACUGGAACUGAGACACGGUCCAGACUCCUGCGGGAGGCAGCAGUAGGGAAUCUUCCGCAAUGGGCGAAAGCCUGACGGAGCAACGCCGCGUGAGUGAUGAAGGUCUUCGGAUCGUAAAACUCUGUUAUUAGGGAAGAACAAAUGUGUAAGUAACUAUGCACGUCUUGACGGUACCUAAUCAGAAAGCCACGGCUAACUACGUG
Molecule: ribosomal RNA, 497 nt
Filed under: uncultured bacterium
Lineage: Bacteria
Description: partial 16S ribosomal RNA
Rfam family: Bacterial small subunit ribosomal RNA
Source: RNAcentral